CCUACGGGUGGCUGCAGUGGGGAAUAUUGGGCAAUGGGCGCAAGCCUGACCCAGCAACGCCGCGUGAAGGAAGAAGGCUCUCGGGUUGUAAACUUCUUUUCUUAGGGACGAAGCAAGUGACGGUACCUGAGGAAUAAGUCACGGCUAACUACGUGCCAGCAGCCACGGUAAUACGGAGGUGGCAAGCGUAAUCCGGAUUUACUGGGUGUAAGGGGCGUGUAGGCGGGACUGCAAGUCAGAUGUGAAAACCACGGGCUCAACCUGUGGCCUGCAUUUGAAACUGUAGUGCUUGAGUACUGGAGAGGCAGACGGAAUGCCUGGUGUAGCGGUGAAAUGCAUAGAUAUUAGGAAGAACCCCAGUGGCGAAGGCGGUCUGCUGGACAGCAACUGACGCUGAGGCGCGAAAGCGUGGGGAGCGAACAGGAUUAGAUACCCCUGUAGUC
Molecule: ribosomal RNA, 443 nt
Filed under: uncultured bacterium
Lineage: Bacteria
Description: partial 16S ribosomal RNA
Rfam family: Bacterial small subunit ribosomal RNA
Source: RNAcentral